UGAACCUGCGCCGUUACAGAUUGAGCCUUAAGUUCUUCAACCCUAGCUUUAACUACUUAAAAGUCUUGAUCAGCUUCUAGGAUAUCACUUCGAUGAUUUUCAAUUGCCAAUUCCUCUGAGGAGAUGACGUCAGGGAACACAGUAACCAAAGCCUCUUGAGCGAAAGCAACUUCCUUAGGCAUCUUGAACAAUCUUGUUCACCGGUUCACGAAGCUUCUCUUUGUUAGCCCCCCAUGAACCUGCAACUGAUAUCAGUUGAGACAUAGAAGUUGAAGUUGUCCUCAGGUCUGCCAAUAAAUAGUUGCCCAAAGAUCUAAAACGAACCUCACCACUUCCUGACCCAUCUUCUUCUGCCCUUCCCCUAGGUUUGUCGAAUACUUCAUCGUGAAUUGAACCAAGGCCUCUGGAAGAGCAGGGACAAUGACCAAAUCCGUUGCAG
This 439-nucleotide long non-coding RNA is filed under the name Amborella trichopoda. RNAcentral describes it as "long non-coding RNA (ATRI_LNC004107)". Lineage: Eukaryota; Viridiplantae; Streptophyta; Magnoliopsida; Amborellales; Amborellaceae. The record is from RNAcentral.